This 392-nucleotide ribosomal RNA is filed under the name uncultured bacterium. RNAcentral describes it as "bacterial SSU rRNA". It matches the Rfam family "Bacterial small subunit ribosomal RNA", at positions 28 to 420 of the family's 1533-position model. The record is from RNAcentral.
GACGAACGCUGGCGGCGUGCUUAACACAUGCAAGUCGAGCGGUAAGGCCCUUUCGGGGGUACACGAGCGGCGAACGGGUGAGUAACACGUGGGUGACCUGCCCUCAGCUCUGGGAUAAAGCCCGGGAAACUGGGUCUAAUACUGGAUAUGACUCCAUGACGCAUGUUGUGGGGUGGAAAGCCUUGUGCGGCUGAGGAUGGGCCCGCGGCCUAUCAGCUUGUUGGUGGGGNGAUGGCCUACCAAGGCGACGACGGGUAGCCGGCCUGAGAGGGCGACCGGCCACACUGGGACUGAGACACGGCCCAGACUCCUACGGGAGGCAGCAGUGGGGAAUCUUGCGCAAUGGGCGAAAGCCUGACGCAGCGACGCCGCGUGAGGGAUGACGGCCUGGU